RNAcentral lists this long non-coding RNA (338 nucleotides) under Homo sapiens (human). RNAcentral describes it as "non-protein coding lnc-BIRC7-4:1". Lineage: Eukaryota; Metazoa; Chordata; Mammalia; Primates; Hominidae. The record is from RNAcentral.
CCACCUUUCAGCACCUCUCGGCUCAGCAUUCUGAAAGCCGGGAACUCAUCUUUAAAGGAGGCCAGGACUUGAAUACAAGCAAGAAAAUGGCAUAAAAUGAAGGAAUUAGCCACUCGAGGUUGAAAACACACUUCCCUAAAAUGACAGCAGCAUUUGGAGCUGCAGGUGGGAGCACACAGCCUACCUCUAACUGGCCUGUCAGAACAGACACGUUUUCCCGUUCUCAUUUUGUGUUUCCUUAAACCAACUACUAACUUCUGGCAGAGGUGGUGACUGCCUGGGAAAGAUGCCAUCCUCAUCUGGCCCCCUUAUCUAUCAAGAUGCAAACUAAUAAAACC